GGUCCUUUGUCCCUUUGGAGGAAACACUAUAAUGAGUCUGAAGAUAUCUAUUUCUUUAGUGGUAUAUUAAAGUGACAAUAAUUAACAAUGUAUACUGAAUUUAAUAACCAAUGUGGUAUUACAAUGUUUAUUUCAUCGGUUUGCCUUUCACAUUGGGUGAGAGUUUGACAAGAACAAAAUAAUAAUAAAUGUAAAAUAAUCUCUACUUUUAUGAAGCACCUAUGCCUAACUAAUAAUGGAACACAAAUAUGUCAUAUUCUACAACGGCAUCUCCUUUUGUAUAAUCAACCGAAUAAAACUUAGCCUGAGCAUAUCCACGUACGAAACGAAAUGCCCCGGUUCCACCAACUAUGGCCAUUUCUCUAACAGGUUCACUCAUGAUCAUGUUUCUACCCAAUAUGCUAAGUGUGCUUCCAUUAAAAUGUCCAUCAGUGAAUGCCAUGGUCAUCACCAUCAUUAGUCCCAUCUCCUCUUGUGAUAUAGAAGUGUAAAUUCCUUGAGCCUUACCCACAAGUUUCGAGUCACGUUCGGGCCCAGCCGUCAAUGGAUCGUCCAUGGCCACAACCGUCCCGAAUGGCAACGCAUUUUUUACCUUGCCAUUAGGCUCAGCUAUAAAUACCAUGCUUGGUUUUGGUCCCGACACAAUGUCAUGAAAGUAAAAGUGAAGGUGAGUGAAUUUCUCUUCUUGAAAACCCAGCAUUGUUGGAGAUAGGCUUUGAUAGUAAUUAGUGGCCGUGGUAAGGGAUAUUAUGGAGAGGAAAGUAAGGUUCAAAGAAAUUAGAAGAGUUAUGGGGAAUGUUGAGGAUUUUGCCAUGGUUGUGUUAAUGAACUAAUAACUAUGAACUCAGAUCCGAUUGGUGGUAUAUUUCAAUUAGUUUUUAUACAUGCCUAUUUAUAAUAGGGGGUGGCUGCUUCACUUAUUUGUCUAUAGUGUUUGUUGCAACUUGCACCUCAAAUAGUUGAGUCAACACGCAUUAUUGUCUUUAACUUGUUUUUUUGACCAAAAACUUCUAGAUAUCAAAAUAUUAU
Molecule: long non-coding RNA, 1029 nt
Filed under: Medicago truncatula (barrel medic)
Lineage: Eukaryota; Viridiplantae; Streptophyta; Magnoliopsida; Fabales; Fabaceae
Description: lncRNA gene42670
Source: RNAcentral